UAGAUUUAAUCACAUUUAAACAAUGAGCUAUAAUUUUAAAAAAAAAAAAAAAAAAAGACUAGGCUCCCAGAUAGUAAUUCUGAUCCUCAAGAUUCUUUUGAGAGGGAGAUGUGCUUUGUUAUCUAAUAAUGAAAUCCAGCAUCCAAACCAAUUUCCUUUGGAUUAUCACUUCUAUUUGAGCGAAGCUUCACCUGGAAACCUACUUUGAGAGGCAUGACGUACACCUGCCAAUGAGCAAGUAAGAUUAGUCGCUUCAAAAGGAGAGACUCUUGCAUUGACUUGGAUUACAUGCAAUCGCGGUUGAUGAUGUGGACCCACAUAGGGCUCUUACAAAUAAGGGCAAUGAUGAAUUUGAUUCAUAUGAACCUGAGUCUAGAUAAGAAUUUUCCCUUUAAAAUACAAACGUUCUUGUUGCCAACACAAAGAUGAUUUACUUUACUCAUGAAGAUGCAUUAUGAAUAGCAUUAUGCAUGGAGAGAAAUGUACAAAUUAUUUUGAACUCACUUCUCUUUUUAAUCAAGAAAUAAAAUGGAAGCAAGUAAAUCAAGAUGGUUUCUACAUGGCAGGAAAAUAUGUUAGUGCUCAGGAAGAAGAAAAGAAGAAACCAUAACUUGCACUAACUAUUUAUCUCUCUCCUUUUUUUGGGGGUAAGAACUCUUUCUC
Molecule: long non-coding RNA, 663 nt
Filed under: Eucalyptus grandis
Lineage: Eukaryota; Viridiplantae; Streptophyta; Magnoliopsida; Myrtales; Myrtaceae
Description: long non-coding RNA (EGRA_LNC003409)
Source: RNAcentral